AUGCCCCACAUAGGCUUUGUGGGGGAACUUGAAUUCUCAGGGUUACAAUCUCUUCACCAUUACAAUAAGCUCAGCAAAGGGCUUCAACAAAUCCUCACCACUUUUCCUUUUUUUUCAGCUCACUGCUCUGCAUUUCCAUUCCUUCCCGACCAAGCUGGGAAGCUUUCCACCCAAACGACACCUUCCCAAUUUCACCCUGUUCCCACGACAGCUCAGGGCAGUGGCCAAGUGCAGGGAAAUUCCAAGGAUGCUCCGAGGCGUAUCUCAGGGGAGGAGCUUGGAAGAAAAUAUCAGCGAGCUCCUGUUUUGACAGGCUGCCCUCGAGAUAACGUGCCUGGACCACUUGGAUCACGGAUGGAGCCAGGGUGUUAAAGCCACAGGUAUGAAGAAGCCAAAUUAGCUCAUUACUUCAUUAAAUUAAGGCAGGGGGGAACGCUGGGACCCAAAUGGGGAUGUGUCACAGCCUUUUACUUGUCCCUGUUGGUCAUCCACCCAGCAGCUGCCACCUCUCCCACCGACAGCAGACUCCGUGCAGGAUGGUCUGAUGCCUGGUUAUUGACAGCAGUAGUUGCUCAAAAAAAGGCCAAUAAUAGUAGUGUAAAGGGAAAAAAGGGUGCGACCAAGCUGGUUUUGUGGGUUUGGUUGUUUUUUUUUGCUUGUUUUGUGUGCUGUUGUUGUUUGGCACAGACCCUUCCUUCUCACCUGGCCAUGGAGCCAGGGAAGAGGCAUUGGUGGUGCUCAUUCUGCUGGCACAGGAACAACUGAGAUACUUCAGUGUCUGCUCUAGGUGUUCUGGUACAAUGAGCCACACAGAUCACAACAUUUCAGCUUUCUAUGGGUUCGUUCAGCUCUGUCCCUCGUCACUUAUGAAGCGCAUUCGGGAGCUUGAUCCUCAGGCUGGCAGGGGGAGAGAUGGGGAGGGUGCGGAGCAGCUUUUGCUGGAUCACUUUCACCCAGGCGGAUGUCUGCAGCUUUCCAAGGACGCUCUGCAUCUCAUGGCUUCGCCGAAGCAUGAAGUCAAGCAGCUUGGCAGCAGCCAAGCAAUCAGCCACUCCUGUCUGCCUCCAAUUUUUCCCAAAUUCUUUGUUCCGGGCAGAUCCACUGAACUCAAAGCAGAAGAUCCUACCCAGGGUGCAUGCUGAAGGCGAGGAUGCAAAAGAGAUUUUUCCUAAAUGGCACGAAAUAAGUUCCCUUGGCUGCAUUGCAGUUGUUUCCCCGACUCAUCCAUCCAUUUCCUUGUACACCGUUUGUACAGAAGGAAAGCUACUUUGUUAGCUAGGAUUUUGUCCUGGUUCUGUACCACAUUCUGGGGCAAGCCAGAGAUCAAAUUUCCGGACCACAAAUAAAUCACAUCUUUUAAUAUUUUGCCCUGUUAGG
This 1377-nucleotide long non-coding RNA is filed under the name Anser cygnoides (Swan goose). Its description in RNAcentral is "lncRNA (ENSACDG00005005859.1)". The record is from RNAcentral. Lineage: Eukaryota; Metazoa; Chordata; Aves; Anseriformes; Anatidae.